GAAAGGCGUCCUCACCUGUGCAUUCUCACUUCCCUCUUGCCCGCUCGCCCCGGCACCCCGCUCUGUGUAGCAACAUAUACGCGCGACAAGGGGCCUGUCCUUGCCUGUUUGCCCUUGCGUGCUUCUCAUCGUCGUUUUUUUUUUCGCUGUCGUCGUUGUCGCCGUUGCCGAUCUUUCAACUCCUUGUCCGAGUCCCUCAGUACACACACACACACACGCACACACAUACAGCCGAAAAUGAACAGCCAACGUCGCCUAUUGUCGCCUGCCAUUCAGCCAAGAGGCGCUUGCGGCGCGGGGGCGGCUGCAAGCGAGUCUCAGCGAAGGUCCUGACGCUCAUUUUCACUGUCGCUGAUAUAUUGGUCCUCACAGAGCUCCUCGCGCUGAGGGCUGAAAGCAGCCCGCCGCGUCUUCUUCAGUGCCGAACUGGCUCUCCACACAAGGCUGCGACCCACCGGGGCGCCACCGGGCUCUCUCGAUCCGUCUCGACUGCCUCGCCGCUCUCAUCAACGUGGGCCGCGAUAACGGAACGAAGCGUCACCUUCCCUGAUCACGACACCACCGUUCCAUACAUGGUUCUGCCCGUCACGGUGGAGGAGACCCUGAUGGUGUUGCUCAUGCGCAUCAUCACCGUGCACAUCCGCCACGCUGUGCACGUGCAGAACGGCGCCGUGCCCAGCAUGAUGCCUUCCCGGACGCCGUCGCCGCUACCCUCCACUUGGCACAGCGCGUGCGCGUGAUGCGCAAGCCUGGCCACUGUGUCUGCGCCACCGCGCUCGGCAUGGCGGUGAGCGACUUCUUGGUUCUGCCCUUCGGUGAGGCAUCCUUGUUCCUCAUGGCGGCGGUUAGCAACUGAAAGUGGUCAGCAACCGUGAAGGCAGCGAUGGCAACAGCCCGACGCUUCGAGUGGGAGAGCGUCGCGGAGCCCCCGUCCCCACUUACACAGGAGCAGAAGGAUGGCGCACAGGCGCAUACCCUUCGAGGGAAGGGCCACGUGGGCCGGCUAUUUCUCGGAAUAGUGUGGGUGUUUGCAGCUCGCCUACGGCCUUGCCUACACGAGGCAUCCGCUUCACGACAGAAGACCCUCGCUCGCCCUUCCCUGCAUAAGCCGGGACAGGAACAGGAGGGCGUGGAAACACGCUGGGCGGCCCGUGAUGGCGCUGUCCCCUGACGACUCAGGGCGGCAAGGGUGCUCGUAUCGUCGGCCCGCACUCAGUGCCGUCAGCCCCACCCCGGCAACACGCCGUCGUGCUGACACGAAUUUUGCGCCAGCGACGACGCACGCAGCGCGUUGUUCGCACGUCUCACGGCGGUCUGCGAUCUGGCGCGUGCGUCGCCGCGGCAGGAGAACGUGACAGCGAUGCUGCCGUCGGUGCGGGAGGGCUGCGGUACGGUAUACGGUGGCUCGUGGCGUCCCAGAACAGGAACCGAUGAUUCUGUUGAGGCACAAGCAAGCCAACAGGCUCGCCAGAUACCUGGGCUAUGGCCUCCAACGCGCAGCGGAGAAGAAAGCCGCAUCGGAUGCGCAGCCUGUGCGCAAUAGGCGGGCUCGUAUUGCGCACUUCAGCCCGCGCGCACGAGCGUGAGCGCCUCAUGGCAACGCGCUCGGCACGCGUCGAGCCACGCGCUGUGCCCACACGUCCGAGAAGGGCUUCCCGAUCGGGGCAAAGGCCGCCUUGGUGGCGAGCCAUCACACACGCACGCACCUCCCCAUCCUGCAUGCGCAGAAAGCAGCUGAAUGGGUUUUAGCGGCAGUGGCUGUGGGUCCGGCGCUGAACACGCUGUGUGGUUUUACGAGCGGAGCAUCGGCGUUGUGUUCUUCUACACUGCCCCGGCUCACUGAAUCCUGCCGACACGCAACUCGCAUAACUUUGAGGAGCGCAACUCCGCGCCGGGCUCGUCUCUCGCCCGCUCGGAUGUGAAGGACGUGGCGUUGCCACUUGUGAGCGGCACCCUUACCCCGCUGUGCGAGGGCCGGAGGGAGGUCACAGAACGGCUGUCGGAGGAGCAAAAUCCGUGAGAGGGCUACUGCAGGGCGAUCCGUGCUUUGCCACAGCGAAUCCUCUCACGAAAGGCGGCGGUGGCCUCAGGGAGCACCGGCGAAGCAUGCACGUGGCCAACUCUCCCUUUCAUUCCCUCUCCUCUCGUUAUGUGGUGGUCUCGCUAAGGGAAAAUCGAUGGCGAGCACUCGUCUCAUCCGGUCAGCCUAUGGCCGCACCGUUGUCCUACGCCGUCUUGCGCAUCCGCCUUUUUCCGUUCUUCUUUCCUGCUCAUGCUUUGUCUGUGUUUCUCCGAGAAAAGCUCCGUUUUGUUCGCGCUUCGGCGCCACCCCUCCUCCCCUCCCUUCCCCGCAUCCGUCCCGAACUCUUCUCUUUUGCUGUAUCGGUCGUUGAUUGGUCCGUCCCCAUCGCUGCCUCGCUUCUCUCGCCCUCCCUCCGCAAUCCCUUGAACCUUCUUCACCUGGGUACUCGCCUAGCACCAUCUUGCUGCGCCACAUAUCCACUCUCCAGUAGCGCGGCAGGCUGUGCGAAUGCAGAUGCAUGCAUGAUCCACUCGUGUAGGCCCAACGCACGCAAGCAUGCGUGAUUUUUUUUUUGGAUGACUCUGGGUGUGUGUAUGUGUGUGUGCGCGGGCGCGGGCGCAAGUAUGCUGAGAGGUGGUCCUCGAUCCUUGCGAGGCUGUGAUCGUGGCAUGUCUUCCCUUCUUCGCCCCUCUGUAGUCUCGGCGCCCUCUCCCCCCCCCUCCCCUCUCUCUCUGCGGCCCCUUUGCAGUCUUACUCCAUGUUGAUGAGGAGAUGUGCAACUGGAGCAGGAGGACGAAGACGUACGGGAGGGCAGCGCACGGUGACGCGGUAAAAGACCCGACGAAAAGAUAGCUUAGUCUGUUGAUCGGUCGUCGCCCCUGUGAGAUGUCACUGAAGCUACUCUCUGGCGCUCAUAGUUUCUGGCUGCUUUCCUUGCCCCGCUCCCUCUUUGGGUCACUCCAGUACCUCCUCACGUGGUGAUGAUGCCACGUUUGUGUGGGGUGCAGGUUUGCUUGCACUCCCAGGGGGAGGGAUAGCCUGUGUUUCCUUUCUCGACUUGCGUCUUCGUGUGGCUGCGGUGGUGUCAUAUGUCUUUUACUGUGUGGUUGGCCCAGUGCGAAUCGGGGUGGAGAGGCCUCAAAUCGUUACACGGGGCCCCCUUCUAUCCUCUCCUUCACUGCGUCGCGCAUCCAGGCGAGAGGAGGGGGUCAUCUCACUGCGGCACUCCAUACGAAACAAAC
Molecule: unclassified non-coding RNA, 3264 nt
Filed under: Leishmania donovani
Lineage: Eukaryota; Euglenozoa; Kinetoplastea; Trypanosomatida; Trypanosomatidae
Description: gene:unknown
Source: RNAcentral